RNAcentral lists this ribosomal RNA (761 nucleotides) under uncultured bacterium. RNAcentral describes it as "bacterial SSU rRNA". It matches the Rfam family "Bacterial small subunit ribosomal RNA", at positions 56 to 794 of the family's 1533-position model. The record is from RNAcentral.
UGCAAGUCGAACGGUAACAGGCCUAUGUGAUCCCUUCGGGGUGAACUUGGUGCUGACGAGUGGCGGACGGGUGAGUAAUGCAUAGGAAUCUGCCCUUUAGCGGGGGAUAACUCGGGGAAACUCGGGCUAAUACCGCAUACGCCCUACGGGGGAAAGCGGGGGCCUUCGGGCCUCGCACUAUUGGAUGAGCCUAUGUCUGAUUAGUUUGUUGGUGGGGUAAUGGCCUACCAAGGCGACGAUCAGUAGCUGGUCUGAGAGGACGAUCAGCCACACUGGGAUUGAGAUACGGCCCAGACUCCUACGGGAGGCAGCAGUGGGGAAUAUUGGACAAUGGGCGAAAGCCUGAUCCAGCAAUGCCGCGUGUGUGAAGAAGGCCCGAGGGUUGUAAAGCACUUUCAACAGUAAAGAAAAGUUCGGUGCUAAUACCACCGAACCCUGACGUUAGCUGUAGAAGAAGCACUGGCUAACUCCGUGCCAGCAGCCGCGGUAAUACGGAGGGUGCGAGCGUUAAUCGGAAUUACUGGGCGUAAAGCGUGCGUAGGUGGCUUGGUAAGUCGGAUGUGAAAGCCCCGAGCUCAACUUGGGAAUUGCAUUCGAUACUGCUAGGCUAGAGUAUGGUAGAGGGAAGUGGAAUUUCCGGUGUAGCGGUGAAAUGCGUAGAGAUCGGAAGGAACACUAGUGGCGAAGGCGGCUUCCUGGACCAAUACUGACACUGAGGUACGAAAGCGUGGGGAGCAAACAGGAUUAGAUACCCUGGUAGU